AACGAACGCUGGCGGCAUGCCUAACACAUGCAAGUCGAACGAGACCUUCGGGUCUAGUGGCGCACGGGUGCGUAACGCGUGGGAACCUGCCCUUAGGUUCGGAAUAACUCCCCGAAAGGGGUGCUAAUACCGGAUAAUGUCUUCGGACCAAAGAUUUAUCGCCUUUGGAUGGGCCCGCGUUGGAUUAGCUAGUUGGUAGUGUAAAAGCCUACCAAGGGGACGAUCCAUAGCUGGUCUGAGAGGAUGAUCAGCCACACUGGGACUGAGACACGGCCCAGACUCCUACGGGAGGCAGCAGUGGGGAAUAUUGGACAAUGGGCGAAAGCCUGAUCCAGCAAGGCCGCGUGAGUGAUGAAGGCCUUAGGGUUGUAAAGCUCUUUUACCCGGGAUGAUAAUGACAGUACCGGGAGAAUAAGCUCCGGCUAACUCCGUG
This 433-nucleotide ribosomal RNA is filed under the name uncultured bacterium. Its description in RNAcentral is "partial 16S ribosomal RNA". It matches the Rfam family "Bacterial small subunit ribosomal RNA", at positions 29 to 507 of the family's 1533-position model. The record is from RNAcentral.